CCUACGGGGUGCAGCAGUGGGGGAUAUUGCACAAUGGGGGAAACCCUGAUGCAGCGACGCCGCGUGGGUGAAGAAGCGCCUCGGCGCGUAAAGCCCUGUCAGCAGGGAAGAAAAUGACGGUACCUGAAGAAGAAGCCCCGGCUAACUACGUGCCAGCAGCCGCGGUAAUACGUAGGGGGCAAGCGUUAUCCGGAUUUACUGGGUGUAAAGGGGGCGCAGACGGCGAUGCAAGCCAGGAGUGAAAGCCCGGGGCCCAACCCCGGGAAUGCUCUUGGAACUGCGUGGCUAGAGUGCAGGAGGGGCAGGCGGAAUUCCUGGUGUAGCGGUGAAAUGCGUAGAUAUCAGGAGGAACACCGGUGGCGAAGGCGGCCUGCUGGACUGCAACUGACGUUGAGGCCCGAAGGCGUGGGGAGCAAACAGGAUUAGAUACCCGGGUAGUC
This 440-nucleotide ribosomal RNA is filed under the name uncultured bacterium. RNAcentral describes it as "partial 16S ribosomal RNA". It matches the Rfam family "Bacterial small subunit ribosomal RNA", at positions 338 to 795 of the family's 1533-position model. The record is from RNAcentral.